GGGGGUUGGGCAAAACAAAAUGUGCAGGUUCGGGUGGGGCAACGGUCAGUCAGCAGAUCUGCCAAAAGCGACCGUUUUCUCGCGCAUUCCUCCUCCCCACCCCCAAUAUUUAUUUUUGCAUUAUUUUUCGUGUUGCAACAC
Caenorhabditis elegans is the source of this 141-nucleotide non-coding RNA. The record is from Ensembl. Lineage: Eukaryota; Metazoa; Nematoda; Chromadorea; Rhabditida; Rhabditidae.